Long non-coding RNA from Mytilus californianus (California mussel), 1481 nucleotides. RefSeq lists it as uncharacterized. Lineage: Eukaryota; Metazoa; Mollusca; Bivalvia; Mytilida; Mytilidae. The record is from RefSeq and is a predicted model, not a curated record. The transcript has 4 exons.
AAUAAUGAGGGGUGUCACGGGAUAUGACUAUAUAGGUCUUGUAGAGGAGAAACAGGCGCAUCUUUUGCGCAAGGUAUCGAAGGGCGCUAUGUUCAAAAAUCUGAAACUAGAGCUCAAAAUUUGAAAAAAAUUGUUAAAAACAGGGGGGUUGGCCUAUUCCAUGGCUUCUACAGAAAAAUAAUGAGGAGUGUCACGGAGUAUGACUAUAUAGGUCUUGUAGAGGAGAAACAGGCGCAUCUUUUGCGCAAGGUAUCGAAGGGGGCUAUGUUCAAAAAUCUGAAACUAGAGCUCAAAAUUUGAAAAAAAUUGUUAAAAACAGGGGGUUGGCCUAUUCCAUGGUUUCUAGAGAAAAAUAAUGAGGAGUGUCACGGAGUAUGACUAUAUAGGUCUUGUAGAGGAGAAACAGGCGCAUCUUUUGCGCAAGGUAUCGAAGGGCGCUAUGUUCAAAAAUCUGAAACUAGAGCUCAAAAUUUGAAAAAAAUUGUUAAAAACAGGGGGGUUGGCCUAUUCCAUGGUUUCUAGAGAAAAAUAAUGAGGGGUGUCACGGGGUAUGACUAUAUAGGUCUUGUAGAGGAGAAACAGGCACAUCUUUUGCGCAAAGUAUCGAAGGGCGCUAUGUUAAAAAAUCUGAAACUAGAGCUAAAAAUUUGAAAAAAAGAAUAUUAAAAACAGGGGGUUGGCCUAUUCCAUGGCUUCUAGAGAAAAAUAAUGAGGGGUGUCACGGGGUAUGACUAUAUAGGUCUUGUAGAGGAGAAACAGGCGCAUCUCUUGCGCAAGGUAUCGAAGGGCGCUAUGUUCAAAAAUCUGAAACUAGAGCUCAAAAUUUGAAAAAAAUUGUUAAAAACAGGGGGGUUGGCCUAUUCCAUGGUUUCUAGAGAAAAAUAAUGAGGGGUGUCACGGGGUAUGACUAUAUAGGUCUUGUAGAAGAAAAACAGGCGCAUCUUUUGCGCAAGGUAUCGAAGGGCGCUAUGUUCAAAAAUCUGAAACUAGAGCUCAAAAUUUGAAAAAAAAAUUGUUAAAAACAGGGGGGUUGGCCUAUAACAUGGCUUCUUGAGAAAAAUAAUCAGGGGUGUCACGGGGUAUGACUAUAUAGGUCUUGUAGAGGAGAAACAGGCGCAUCUUUUGCGCAAGGUAUGGAAGGGCGCAAUGUUCAAAAAUCUGAAACUAGAGCUCAAAAUUUGAAAAAAAAAAUUGUUAAAAACAGGGGGCUUGGCCUAUUCCAUGGCUUCUAGAGAAAAAUAAUGAGGGGUGUCACGGGGUAUGACUAUAUAGAUCUUGUAGAGGAGAAACAGGCGCAUCUUUUGCGCAAGGUAUCGAAGGGCGCUAUGUUCAAAAAUCUGAAACUAGAGCUCAAAAUUUGAAAAAACAAUUGUUAAAAAUAGGGGGGUUGGCCUAUUCCAUGGCUUCUACAGAAAAAUAAUGAGGGGUGUCACGGGGUAUGACUAUAUAGGUCUUGUAGAACAGAAACAGGCGCAUCUCUU